Molecule: long non-coding RNA, 841 nt
Organism: Cryptomeria japonica (Japanese cedar)
Lineage: Eukaryota; Viridiplantae; Streptophyta; Pinopsida; Cupressales; Cupressaceae
Exons: 3
Source: RefSeq, a predicted model, not a curated record
AGAAUGUUUGAACAAAAAAAUCACACAAUCAUAUCCAAAAGUAUUUUAGCAAUUAAAUGAAUAAUUUCAGAAAAUUUUAGUAAGAAAAUGUGUUCCUUGUAAUUUUUGGGUUCGUCCCUGUGUGGAGCGUGUUUCCCCAACGGCUCUGAAACUACUGCCAUGGAACUCGGAAGGAAUGGCUAUCCGUUAGCUGUAAAAAAAUAUGACUGUUGCUAUAUAACCGUUUUAAAAAGCAAUAGCCGUUACUGUAUAUUACCGUUGCUGUAUAUUCAUCUCUUAUAAAUGGCAGCGACUGUUCUUAUGGAUUAGCGAGAGCUUAUGUUCUUCCUCUUCCGUCAAUGUUUUCUUCGUCUUCGUCUUUAUCUCUUUUAGGAAGAGGGAAGGCAAAGAGCAGAGGCAGAGCAAAAGGAAGCGACAAGUGAAGAGGGAAGGCAAGCUGAUUCCAUAUCCAAUUUCCUUUCUUAGGAGUUCAGAGAGAGAAGAUACAAGCUGAAGGCUCUGCGCUUAGUCUCUGUUGCAUCUACAUUCAGGCUGAGCCAGUGUUGGAACACUAUGGAAGCUCCAAUAGGUAGCUACUAAAGUCAAUUAAUGAAUGUAUUUAACAAAAUUUUACAAAAAUGUUUCAAAUAUUGAAUGGGUUUCUAAAUGCAAUAUUUAAUAUCUAAAACUGGUAAAAAUGUUGCAUUUUUUUAUCAUUGUUAAAAAAUUGGUGUAAAUGUAAUUUCUAAAUUGAGGCAAUUUUCAGAUAAUGCAUAUCUAAAACUGGAGAAGAUGUUACAUUUGUUAAUCACUAAUAUGUAAAUCCCAACAUGUCUAUCGAGUAAAUUGAUAUAUAAACUAA